AAAAGCUGCUGGCAUGUCAGAUUAUGGGUCCGGUCCACAGUUCAGCUGAAGUGCCUGGUGGGAUCACCAGCUCAUGUAGCAUAAGGUACCUUUACUGACUGACUAUUUCAGCUUCAUUUAGAAGUACCACCAACCCACAGCAUCUGUCAGGACACAGAUACGUUGGACAAAGCUCUUAGCAGCCRUCUCCCUGCCUGUCUUUAAGCUGGCACGGAGGCACUCUCCAA
Long non-coding RNA from Nothoprocta perdicaria, 227 nucleotides. RefSeq lists it as uncharacterized. The record is from RefSeq and is a predicted model, not a curated record. The transcript has 3 exons. Lineage: Eukaryota; Metazoa; Chordata; Aves; Tinamiformes; Tinamidae.